Rhinopithecus roxellana (golden snub-nosed monkey) is the source of this 542-nucleotide RNA transcript. It is a transcript of the gene named cytochrome c oxidase assembly factor 3 homolog, mitochondrial pseudogene, with no coding region annotated. The transcript has a single exon. The record is from RefSeq and is a predicted model, not a curated record. Lineage: Eukaryota; Metazoa; Chordata; Mammalia; Primates; Cercopithecidae.
GGCAACGCGAAGAGAGGAGCGGCGACAUGGCGGCUUCGGGAGCUGGUGACCCUCUGGAUGCUAAGCGUGGAGAGGCCCCGUUCGCUCAGCGUAUCGACCCGACGCGGGAGAAGCUGACACCCGAGCAACUGUAUUCCAUGCGGCGGGCGCAGCUUGCCCAGUGGCAGAAGGUCCUACCGCAGCGGCGGACCCGGAACAUCGUGACCGGCCUAGGCAUCGGGGCCCUGGUGUUAGCUAUUUAUGGUUACACCUUCUACUCGAUUUCCCAGGAGCGUUUCCUAGAUGCGCUAGAAGACGAGGCCAAAGCUGCCCGAACCCGAGCUCUGGCAAGGGCAUCAGGAUCCUAGUCUGGAUGGGUAUUGAUCAUGUCCAACCUGCUGGAGCCCCUUCACAUGGUGGAUGAUGCCCCAUGACCCUGUACAAAUUGAAUCCUGCUCACAACAUUGUUGGCCUUCUUACUAACCUUGGGCCAUGAUUGAUCCCAAGAAACCAGGGACUUAAGCAUUUGGCUACUGUCAAAAGAACAGAACUUUGCCCACUGC